This 203-nucleotide long non-coding RNA is filed under the name Elaeis guineensis (African oil palm). Its description in RNAcentral is "long non-coding RNA (EGUI_LNC045606)". The record is from RNAcentral. Lineage: Eukaryota; Viridiplantae; Streptophyta; Magnoliopsida; Arecales; Arecaceae.
GGCCAUAGACUUGUGGACUCAGCUUCUCAAAUCUCAUAGGACUACUCCUCUCUAUCAAGGUCAAUAGAACUCAUAUAGAUGCAUACGUUGCUUGCACAGCUCAACCAACUAAAGCCAACAUCCACUACAAAAAUUUAUAAUAGAGUUAAUGUUUAUGUAUAGUUAAACUACAACAGUCUUAUUGUAAGCAAUUGUGACACCGC